AGAGUUUGAUCCUGGCUCAGAAUGAACGCUGGCGGCAUGCCUAACACAUGCAAGUCGAACGAAGGCUUCGGCCUUAGUGGCGCACGGGUGCGUAACGCGUGGGAAUCUGCCCCUUGGUUCGGAAUAACAGUUGGAAACGACUGCUAAUACCGGAUGACGACGUAAGUCCAAAGAUUUAUCGCCGAGGGAUGAGCCCGCGUAGGAUUAGGUAGUUGGUGUGGUAAAGGCGCACCAAGCCGACGAUCCUUAGCUGGUCUGAGAGGAUGAUCAGCCACACUGGGACUGAGACACGGCCCAGACUCCUACGGGAGGCAGCAGUGGGGAAUAUUGGACAAUGGGCGAAAGCCUGAUCCAGCAAUGCCGCGUGAGUGAUGAAGGCCUUAGGGUUGUAAAGCUCUUUUACCCGGGAUGAUAAUGACAGACCGGGAGAAAAGCUCC
Molecule: ribosomal RNA, 438 nt
Filed under: uncultured Sphingomonas sp.
Lineage: Bacteria; Pseudomonadati; Pseudomonadota; Alphaproteobacteria; Sphingomonadales; Sphingomonadaceae
Description: bacterial SSU rRNA
Rfam family: Bacterial small subunit ribosomal RNA
Source: RNAcentral